Molecule: ribosomal RNA, 254 nt
Filed under: uncultured bacterium
Lineage: Bacteria
Description: partial 16S ribosomal RNA
Rfam family: Bacterial small subunit ribosomal RNA
Source: RNAcentral
UACGAAGGGGGCUAGCGUUGUUCGGAAUUACUGGGCGUAAAGGGCGCGUAGGCGGUCAGCACAAGUCAGUUGUGAAAUCUCCGGGCUUAACUCGGAAAGGUCAACUGAUACUGUGCGACUAGAGUGCAGAAGGGGCAACUGGAAUUCUCGGUGUAGCGGUGAAAUGCGUAGAUAUCGAGAGGAACACCUGCGGCGAAGGCGGGUUGCUGGGCUGACACUGACGCUGAUGCGCGAAAGCCAGGUGAGCGAACGGG